CCUACGGGAGGCAGCAGUAAGGAAUAUUGGUCAAUGGGCGCAAGCCUGAACCAGCCAUGCCGCGUGCAGGAAGACGGCCCUAUGGGUUGUAAACUGCUUUUGAACAAGAGAAAACCUCGGUACGUGUACCGAGCUGAUAGUAUUGUUAGAAUAAGCAUCGGCUAACUUCGUGCCAGCAGCCGCGGUAAGACGAAGGAUGCAAGCGUUAUCCGGAUUCAUUGGGUUUAAAGGGUGCGUAGGUGGCCUGAUAAGUCAGUGGUGAAAUCUCUCAGCUUAACCUGAGAAACCUGCCAUUGAUACUGUCGGGCUUGAGUACAGAUGAUGUGGGCGGAAUAUGGACAUGUAGUGGUGAAAUACCUUAGAUAUGUCAUAGAACACCGAUUUGNGAG
Molecule: ribosomal RNA, 389 nt
Filed under: uncultured bacterium
Lineage: Bacteria
Description: bacterial SSU rRNA
Rfam family: Bacterial small subunit ribosomal RNA
Source: RNAcentral